RNAcentral lists this ribosomal RNA (433 nucleotides) under uncultured bacterium. RNAcentral describes it as "partial 16S ribosomal RNA". It matches the Rfam family "Bacterial small subunit ribosomal RNA", at positions 29 to 507 of the family's 1533-position model. The record is from RNAcentral.
AACGAACGCUGGCGGCAUGCCUAACACAUGCAAGUCGAACGAGACCUUCGGGUCUAGUGGCGCACGGGUGCGUAACGCGUGGGAACCUGCCCUUAGGUUCGGAAUAACUCCCCGAAAGGGGUGCUAAUAUCGGAUAAUGUCUUCGGACCAAAGUUUUAUCGCCUUUGGAUGGGCCCGCGUUGGAUUAGCUAGUUGGUAGGGUAAAAGCCUACCAAGGCGACGAUACAUAGCUGGUCUGAGAGGAUGAUCAGCCACACUGGGACUGAGACACGGCCCAGACUCCUACGGGAGGCAGCAGUGGGGAAUAUUGGACAAUGGGCGAAAGCCUGAUCCAGCAAUGCCGCGUGAGUGAUGAAGGCCUUAGGGUUGUAAAGCUCUUUUACCCGGGAUGAUAAUGACAGUACCGGGAGAAUAAGCUCCGGCUAACUCCGUG